UAGAAUCCCACGUGUAGCGGUGAAAUGCGUAGAGAUGUGGAGGAAUACCGGUGGCGAAGGCGGCCUUCUGGACAGAUACUGACGCUGAGAUGCGAAAGCGUGGGGAGCAAACAGGAUUAGAUACCCUGGUAGUCCACGCUGUAAACGAUGUCUAUUUGGAGUUUGUUGCCCUGAGUGAUGGGCUCCGAAGCUAACGCGAUAAAUCGACCGCCUGGGGAGUACGGCCGCAAGGUUAAAACUCAAAUGAAUUGACGGGGGGCCCGCACAAGCGGUGGAGCAUGUGGUUUAAUUCGAUGCAACGCGAAGAACCUUACCUGGUCUUGACAUCCACAGAAUCUUGCAGAGAUGCGAGAGUGCCUUCUGGAACUGUGAGACAGGUGCUGCAUGGCUGUCGUCAGCUCGUGUUGUGAAAUGUUGGGUUAAGUCCCGCAACGAGCGCAACCCUUAUCCUUUGUUGCCAGCGAUUCGGUCGGGAACUCAAAGGAGACUGCCGUUGAUAAAGCGGAGGAAGGUGGGGACGACGUCAAGUCAUCAUGGCCCUUACGACCAGGGCUACACACGUGCUACAAUGGCGUAUACAAAGGGAGGCGACCUCGCGAGAGCAAGCGGACCUCAUAAAGUACGUCUAAGUCCGGAUUGGAGUCUGCAACUCGACUCCAUGAAGUCGGAAUCGCUAGUAAUCGUGAAUCAGAAUGU
RNAcentral lists this ribosomal RNA (696 nucleotides) under uncultured Gilliamella sp. Its description in RNAcentral is "bacterial SSU rRNA". It matches the Rfam family "Bacterial small subunit ribosomal RNA", at positions 662 to 1357 of the family's 1533-position model. The record is from RNAcentral. Lineage: Bacteria; Pseudomonadati; Pseudomonadota; Gammaproteobacteria; Orbales; Orbaceae.